ACAUGCAGUCGAGGGGUAUAAGAGAGCUUGCUUUCUUAGAGACCGGCGCACGGGUGCGUCACUCGUAUGCAAUCUACCUUACUCAGGGGGAUAGCCCGAAGAAACUCGGAUUAACACCGCAUAACAUAUAGUUUCGGCAUCGGAGUUAUAUCAAAUAUUUAUAGGAGUAAGAUGAGCAUGCGUGACAUUAGCUAGUUGGUAAGGUAACGGCUUACCAAGGCGACGAUGUCUAGGGGAUCUGAGAGGAUGACACCCCCCGCACUGGUACUGAGACACGGACCAGACUCCUACGGGAGGCAGCAGUAAGGAAUAUUGGUCAAUGGGCGAAAGCCUGAACCAGCCAUGCCGCGUGCAGGAGGACGGCCCUAUGGGUUGUAAACUGCUUUUGUACCGGAAUAAACCUGAUUAUGUAUAGUCAGCUGAAUGUACGGUAAGAAUAAGGAUCGGCUAACUCCGUGCCAGCAGCCGCGGUAACAAUACGGAGGAUCCAAGCGUUAUCCGGAUUUAUUGGGUUUAAAGGGUGCGUAGGCGGCUUGUUAAGUCAGAGGUGAAAGACGGUAGCUCAACUAUCGCAGUGCCUUUGAUACUGAUGAGCUUGAAUGAAGUU
This 607-nucleotide ribosomal RNA is filed under the name uncultured bacterium. Its description in RNAcentral is "bacterial SSU rRNA". It matches the Rfam family "Bacterial small subunit ribosomal RNA", at positions 53 to 653 of the family's 1533-position model. The record is from RNAcentral.